RNAcentral lists this ribosomal RNA (230 nucleotides) under uncultured bacterium. RNAcentral describes it as "partial 16S ribosomal RNA". It matches the Rfam family "Bacterial small subunit ribosomal RNA", at positions 562 to 791 of the family's 1533-position model. The record is from RNAcentral.
AAAGCGUGCGCAGGCGGUUUUGUAAGUCUGUCGUGAAAUCCCCGGGCUCAACCUGGGAAUGGCGAUGGAGACUGCAAGGCUAGAAUCUGGCAGAGGGGGGUAGAAUUCCACGUGUAGCAGUGAAAUGCGUAGAUAUGUGGAGGAACACCGAUGGCGAAGGCAGCCCCCUGGGCUAAGAUUGACGCUCAUGCACGAAAGCGUGGGGAGCAAACAGGAUUAGAUACCCUUGU